CGGACCGGCGCACGGGUGAGUAACGCGUAUGCAACCUGCCCGUUUCAGCGGGAUAACCCGGAGAAAUCCGGCCUAAUACCGCAUGUGGCCGAGGGGAGGCAUCUUCUUUCGGCCAAAGGAGGCGACUCCGGAGACGGAUGGGCAUGCGUGACAUUAGCUAGUUGGCGGGGUAACGGCCCACCAAGGCGACGAUGUCUAGGGGUUCUGAGAGGAAGGUCCCCCACACUGGUACUGAGACACGGACCAGACUCCUACGGAAGGCAGCAG
RNAcentral lists this ribosomal RNA (267 nucleotides) under uncultured bacterium. RNAcentral describes it as "partial 16S ribosomal RNA". It matches the Rfam family "Bacterial small subunit ribosomal RNA", at positions 91 to 354 of the family's 1533-position model. The record is from RNAcentral.